RNAcentral lists this ribosomal RNA (253 nucleotides) under uncultured bacterium. Its description in RNAcentral is "partial 16S ribosomal RNA". It matches the Rfam family "Bacterial small subunit ribosomal RNA", at positions 524 to 776 of the family's 1533-position model. The record is from RNAcentral.
UACGUAGGGUGCAAGCGUUAUUCGGAUUCACUGGGCGUAAAGGGUGCGCAGGCGGUUGGGUGUGUCAGAUGUGAAAUCCCGAGGCUUAACCUCGGAACUGCGUCUGAAACUACUCGACUAGAGUACUGGAGAGGGUAACGGAAUUCACGGUGUAGCAGUGAAAUGCGUAGAUAUCGUGAGGAACACCAGAGGCGAAGGCGGUUACCUGGACAGUUACUGACGCUCAGGCACGAAAGCAUGGGGAGCAAAAGGG